GCCCGGAUGGCGAAACUGGCAGACGCACGGGACUUAAAAUCCCGGGUCCCGAAAGGGACGUGACGGUUCGAUUCCGUCUCCGGGCACCA
This 89-nucleotide transfer RNA is filed under the name Candidatus Korobacter versatilis. Its description in RNAcentral is "tRNA-Leu". It matches the Rfam family "tRNA". Rfam says of the family: Transfer RNA (tRNA) molecules are approximately 80 nucleotides in length. Their secondary structure includes four short double-helical elements and three loops (D, anti-codon, and T loops). Lineage: Bacteria; Pseudomonadati; Acidobacteriota; Terriglobia; Terriglobales; Candidatus Korobacteraceae. The record is from RNAcentral. RNAcentral also lists the same sequence under 1 other name.